AAAUUUAAUUUAAAUGAAUCUAUCAUUUCAAUUGUUUAACUUAACAGUUUUAUUCCAAAAUAUUGAUUUAUCAAACCAACAAUGUAUUUCUAUAUUUUUAUCGUGAUGUAUCUCACUAGAAGUCUUUCAAACGCAUUUCUUUUUUUAUAUCCACCUAUGAUAGAUCAGGAUUCGAAAUUUAGUCGUUUAGCAUCCCUUCAUCUGAAGCGUAUAUUUAAUGAUAAUGUCCAUAAUGAUAGAGGUAUGGACUUAAUAACAUUUAAAGCCCUUAUGUAUGUUUUUAAACCAGUACACGAAUUGAAUGAUAUUGAUAUUGAAAAAUUAUUCCAUAAAGAAAUUUUAUUUAAUGUAAACGUAUUUAUGAGUUCGUAUAAAUUUUUAAAACGAAUAUUUGAAGUUACAAAAAAAGUUGAGCAUAAAUUAAAAACUAUUUAUGAAAAUCAUGUCAACCAAGAUGGCAAGAUGACUAAACAAACAUUUAUUGAAGCUAUAAAAGUAUUGAGUAUGUGUGAUAUUACACAAAAUGAAGCUAGUGAAACAAUAAAUGUAGAAGGUGCAGACCCACAAAAUAUCAGCUUUACAGUUAAAAAGAAAAAAUCGAUAAACAAAAAAAAAAAAGGAUCAUCAUUAUAAUAAUUCACUAAUAAUUGUAACAACUUUCAAAAACAGUGAACCAUAAUGGGAAUAGUGCCCUUUUACAACAUAGACAAUUAUUAUCAACAAUUUAAAAAAUUUUAAUUCUAUUAAUGCAAAUACACUACAAUAAAACUUCGAUGAUUGAAGUCCAUCUGACUUUCAUAACAUGAACACAAAAUGUGACUAUGCCAAGAAUAAAUAAUAAUAUGUAAUAUUUAAGCUGUAUGAAAAAUAGAUCAAUUGAAUAAAGUUUAAAGUAGCUAAAUGAAAAGUACUCAAAAUGAAAGAUACUGAAAUUGAAUCUGAUGCAAAAUAGUGAAAAAAGAAAUAUGGUUUUCAAAUAAACGCACAACUACUAUUUCAAAUGACUGCGUCCAGGAAGAAGAGGAAAAAUUGUGCUCUCAUUAAGAAAGAGUAACCAGUAAAAUACUGCGAAGAAAAACUCUAUCUUUAUGCGUUCUCGUUCGAUUCAAGUACUUAAUGUCAAUUAAUAAAAUCAAAUGCAUCGACUAUACUAUACAUACAAAAAUGAAAAAUAUGCUAAUUUUAACAUUGUCUCCUGAUAUUAAUUUGAAAACAAUGUGUAAAAAUAAAUGAAAUAACUUCACUUCAUUAUAAUUAACUAUGAUUUAUCAUAAUUAAACGUAUACACUAUUUUCUUUAUUUAAAA
Daktulosphaira vitifoliae (grape phylloxera) is the source of this 1306-nucleotide RNA transcript. RefSeq lists it as uncharacterized. The record is from RefSeq and is a predicted model, not a curated record. The transcript has 5 exons. NCBI's taxonomy places the organism in Eukaryota, Metazoa, Arthropoda, Insecta, Hemiptera, Phylloxeridae.